RNAcentral lists this ribosomal RNA (465 nucleotides) under Vreelandella stevensii. RNAcentral's name for it is "partial 16S ribosomal RNA". It matches the Rfam family "Bacterial small subunit ribosomal RNA", at positions 338 to 795 of the family's 1533-position model. Lineage: Bacteria; Pseudomonadati; Pseudomonadota; Gammaproteobacteria; Oceanospirillales; Halomonadaceae. The record is from RNAcentral.
CCUACGGGUGGCAGCAGUGGGGAAUAUUGGACAAUGGGCGAAAGCCUGAUCCAGCCAUGCCGCGUGUGUGAAGAAGGCCUUCGGGUUGUAAAGCACUUUCAGUGGGGAAGAAAGCCUUGGGGCUAAUACCCUCGAGGAAGGACAUCACCCACAGAAGAAGCACCGGCUAACUCCGUGCCAGCAGCCGCGGUAAUACGGAGGGUGCGAGCGUUAAUCGGAAUUACUGGGCGUAAAGCGCGCGUAGGCGGUCUGAUAAGCCGGUUGUGAAAGCCCCGGGCUCAACCUGGGAACGGCAUCCGGAGAUGUCGGGCGAGAGUGCAGGAGAGGGGGGGAGAAUUCGCGGGGUAGAGGUGAAAUGCGGAGAGAUCGGGAGGCAUAACGGUGGCGAAGGCGGCCUUCUGGACUGACACUGACGCUGAGGUGCGAAAGAGUGGGUAGCAAACAGGAUGAGAGACCCCGGUAGUG